GGCUUGGUGGUGCAAUGGUUAGCACUGUUGGCUUGCAAUAAGGAGGCUCUGGGUUCAAGUGCCACUCAGCCA
This is a non-coding RNA of Gymnothorax javanicus (giant moray), 72 nucleotides long. The record is from the annotation of a GenBank genome assembly. NCBI's taxonomy places the organism in Eukaryota, Metazoa, Chordata, Actinopteri, Anguilliformes, Muraenidae.